RNAcentral lists this ribosomal RNA (251 nucleotides) under uncultured bacterium. RNAcentral's name for it is "partial 16S ribosomal RNA". It matches the Rfam family "Bacterial small subunit ribosomal RNA", at positions 524 to 774 of the family's 1533-position model. The record is from RNAcentral.
UACGUAGGGGGCAAGCGUUAUCCGGAUUUACUGGGUGUAAAGGGAGCGUAGGCGGCAAGGUAAGCCAGAAGUGAAAGCCCGCGGCUCAACUGCGGGACUGCUUUUGGAACUAUCUAGCUAGAUUGCAGGAGAGGUAAGUGGAAUUCCUAGUGUAGCGGUGAAAUGCGUAGAUAUUAGGAGGAACACCAGUGGCGAAGGCGGCUUACUGGACUGUAAAUGACGCUGAGGCUCGAAAGCGUGGGGAGCAAACA